Molecule: ribosomal RNA, 594 nt
Filed under: Enterobacter sp. RS1
Lineage: Bacteria; Pseudomonadati; Pseudomonadota; Gammaproteobacteria; Enterobacterales; Enterobacteriaceae
Description: bacterial SSU rRNA
Rfam family: Bacterial small subunit ribosomal RNA
Source: RNAcentral
GCUAAUACCGCAUAACGUCGCAAGACCAAAGAGGGGGACCUUCGGGCCUCUUGCCAUCAGAUGUGCCCAGAUGGGAUUAGCUAGUAGGUGGGGUAACGGCUCACCUAGGCGACGAUCCCUAGCUGGUCUGAGAGGAUGACCAGCCACACUGGAAUUGAGACACGGUCCAGACUCCUACGGGAGGCAGCAGUGGGGAAUAUUGCACAAUGGGCGCAAGCCUGAUGCAGCCAUGCCGCUUGUAUGAAGAAGGCCUUCGGGUUGUAAAGUACUUUCAGCGGGGAGGAAGGUGCUGAGGUUAAUAACCUCAGCAAUUGACGUUACCCGCAGAAGAAGCACCGGCUAACUCCGUGCCAGCAGCCGCGGUAAUACGGAGGGUGCAAGCGUUAAUCGGAAUUACUGGGCGUAAAGCGCACGCAGGCGGUCUGUCAAGUCGGAUGUGAAAUCCCCGGGCUCAACCUGGGAACUGCAUUCGAAACUGGCAGGCUAGAGUCUUGUAGAGGGGGGUAGAAUUCCAGGUGUAGCGGUGAAAUGCGUAGAGAUCUGGAGGAAUACCGGUGGCGAAGGCGGCCCCCUGGACAAAGACUGACGCUCAGU